Molecule: long non-coding RNA, 989 nt
Organism: Priapulus caudatus
Lineage: Eukaryota; Metazoa; Priapulida; Priapulimorpha; Priapulimorphida; Priapulidae
Exons: 2
Source: RefSeq, a predicted model, not a curated record
AAAUUCAUAGAUUGGUUGGAGUGCCCCACAUGCAAGCAGUGGUGGCACGAAUGCUGCAUUGUGUGGAGGCAUGAGGGAGUAUGUGCAAAAUGUUAAGUUGGCGAUGGAUUCUGAUUAGAAGAUGUUCCCAUGCUUAUGGAUCCAAGUCAUGGAAAUUUUGAUAUAUAUACAUUAUAAGUUAAAAAGCAAUUUUUCUUGAAUUUUAUCAAAACAAACAUUUAACAAUAACUGUGUAAAUAUGUUACUAUUGGUGGAAAUAUACUCUGACUGAAGGUGCUGCCACCUAGUAUUGGCAUUUAUUAAAAUGAUUGUUAUAGCCUCUGUCAUAGCAGCACUCACUAGUUUCAUCAGAAUAAAUAAAAUUAAUAGUUUAGAGUCAUGAGCAUUGUCAGUGAGUCACAAACGCGGUGUUAAUAGAUAUAAACACGUGUAGGCUUACACACGCACGCGCGCGUGGGUACAUGUUGCCUUCUCGGAUGUGGUAGGAACAUGAAACCUAUCGUACAAUACUGACUCAUUGCAGUAUGACUCAUGCACUACUAUCUUACAUGUACGUGCCCGAAGAGAUACUCACAAAUACAGAGGCGCGCGAGCGUAGACACAUAUGAGACUUUAAUAUAUCGUCACCUUCCUAAAAUAAUGGCCUAAGUCAUAUUUUCAAGUUUUGAGAAAAACAGAAAAAUAUUAACCAAAUAUUGAAUAUAUGACAUUUAUUAAUCAAUUCACAUAGAAAGGUUUGUGGAUAUAUGACUUUUGAAAUACACAUAACGCUGUCUGUCAAAUAUGUUACAUAUGUUAAUUAGAUGACUAUAUUAUCGGUGGUGGAUGUAGAUGUUAUAAUUUUGUAUCUGUAUGGCAAUUUUCUUUAUUAGACAUUGGACAAUCCUAGUUUCAGUAAAGAUUAAUAUUGGAAUCUAAUAUGAUUCCAAUAAUUAAUAUUUUAUUACAGUAAUGUGAAAAUAUUAUGAUAAAUAAAAAAAUUACACUUA